ACAUACUCUUGUUGCUUUGGCAGGCCGUGGUCUCCCACUGUGGGCUCUGCCUGCAUGUGCCUGCCAGAGGACCAAACUCUGAAUGUUAGUGAUGUCUGAGUACUAUAUAAUAGUUAAAACUUUCAACAACGGAUCUCUUGGUUCUGGCAUCGAUGAAGAACGCAGCGAAAUGCGAUAAGUAAUGUGAAUUGCAGAAUUCAGUGAAUCAUCGAAUCUUUGAACGCACAUUGCACCCGGUGGUAUUCCGCCGGGUAUGCCUGUUCGAGCGUCAUUAUAACCACUCAAGCCUGUCUUGGUGUUGGGGAUUGCGAAUCUUGCAGCCCUAGAGUCCAGUAGCGUCACCUGUAGGUCCUAAGCGUAGUAAUUUCUCCUCGCUACAGAGCCUGCCGGUGGAUAGUGUAAAUCCAGUUAAGUCUGCGUGUCCUGCUAUUAAACCCCCAAAUUUUAAAGGUUGACCUCGGAUCAAGUAGGGAUACCCGCUGAACUUAAGCAUAUCAAUAAGCGGAGGAAG
Molecule: ribosomal RNA, 511 nt
Filed under: Helotiales sp. ca_besc_290d
Lineage: Eukaryota; Fungi; Ascomycota; Leotiomycetes; Helotiales
Description: eukaryotic LSU rRNA
Rfam family: 5.8S ribosomal RNA (bases 118-271)
Source: RNAcentral